ACCAGGGUAGCUCAACUGGUAGAGCGAUCGCCUGUUACGCGAAGGGUUGCAGGUUCGAGCCCUGCCCCUGGUGCCA
This 76-nucleotide transfer RNA is filed under the name SAR202 cluster bacterium. Its description in RNAcentral is "tRNA-Asn". It matches the Rfam family "tRNA". Rfam says of the family: Transfer RNA (tRNA) molecules are approximately 80 nucleotides in length. Their secondary structure includes four short double-helical elements and three loops (D, anti-codon, and T loops). Lineage: Bacteria; Bacillati; Chloroflexota; Dehalococcoidia. The record is from RNAcentral.